Molecule: ribosomal RNA, 301 nt
Filed under: uncultured bacterium
Lineage: Bacteria
Description: partial 16S ribosomal RNA
Rfam family: Bacterial small subunit ribosomal RNA
Source: RNAcentral
CAGUCGCCGCGGUAAAACAGAGGAUGCAAGCGUUAUCCGGAAUGAUUGGGCGUAAAGCGUCUGUAGGUGGCUUUUCAAGUCCGCCGUCAAAUCCCAGGGCUCAACCCUGGACAGGCGGUGGAAACUACCAAACUGGAGUACGGUAGGGGCAGAGGGAAUUUCCGGUGGAGCGGUGAGAUGCGUUGAGAUCGGAAAGAACACCAACGGCGAAAGCACUCUGCUGGGCCGACACUGACACUGAGAGACGAAAGCUAGGGGAGCAAAUGGGAUUAGAUACCCCCGUAGUCCCUGUCUCUUAUAC